UUUUCUGUGGGAAGAGCCACCUGAGCUCCUGGCUGGCCCCGCCCCGUUCUGACCACGCCCAGCCGCGGCCCCAACCGCCCUCCCGGCCAUGGUCCCGCCCCCUACCAGGCUCCGCCUCCACAAGGUCCGGCGUUGACCCUUCACCUUGACCCAUCGCUUCAGCCUCAGCCCAGAUCACGCCUACCUGGCUCCACCCUUCUCCAUGACCACGCCCCCGCCACGACUCCGCAAGGCCUGACCCUGCCCUAAGGGAGCCAGGUCCUUGGUCCGUUCCUGAACCUCUCUGCCCAGAGCGGGCCUGGCGUCCAGUGACCUCUCACCAUCAAAGAGAGUGAAGAAAGCCUCUCUCUCGUCCCUGAUGUCCAGACGGGCAGAAUGGCUCCUCCCAGCUGGGCUGAAUGCUGCUACCUCUGUGGCCCAAAGCAUCCUGGGCUGGUCCACGUGAGCUCCUCAAGGGCGGAGGUUGUGUCCUUUCUGGAUCUGUACCCCAGGGAGACACAGGGCCUGGGCUGAGCGGCCACUCGGUAGUGUGUGGAGAAUGGAUGGAUGGGUGUCUGGAGAGUGGGCUGGCAGGGACAGCAGCCUGAUGGGGCUGCUGUGAAGACAGAGCGCUUAUUAUACACAUGACACGUGUCAACGUGGGCUAGCGGUGGUAAUGGCGAGGAGGACGUGGCGACAUCCGGGCACGACUAGAGAACGGCCGGAAGAGAAGCAAGUGCACAACGGGCCGGUGGUCGGCUCCGGAGGGAGCAAGCCGCGCCUCCCACCGCCCAGAGUGGACGGAGAACUUCUGCAGCGGAUCUGGAGGCUUGGCAGCGUGGGCGCACUCUGCAGAAGCAAGCGCGGCCGCCACGCCUCCACCUGGCUUUCCUAACUCUGUGCGGGGUCCCCCUCCACCCUGGCUUUCUGCAAGUUAGAGUUAUACCGCUUCACUUUUAACUUAGCAGGACCCACAUUGGUACCUGCUUUUGCUAACUAGAAGAAGUCCGAAGAGGCUCUUUGCCUUUACGGACAAAGGCGAAAAGAGAAAAUAGCGUUCGGCGGUUUGUUUUGCAGUGUGCCUUACAGAGGCAGUGGACAGCUGGCCGGCCCGCCCAGCUCCUUCCUGGGAACCGCCCUCAGCACCCCAUGUACAGACCCAGAGCUCUGAGCUGUGUCUGUGAGGAUCUGGACUUUAUCUCAACUUAUGUUGUGCGUCCAUUAGCAAGAUGUACCCUAAGGUAUCAGAAAAGCCUAAGAAAGGUUAUUUUUUGGGUCUGGACGCGCUAACAUUUUUCCCCAUAUGCCUCUUUGCUUUACAGCAUCUUGGCUUAUGAAAGCGUUCAUAGGGUUGCUCUACUGAUGGUGGGAAAACCUGUGUUUAUUACUUUCACAAAGAAAUAAGCCGUGAAUCUUCAUUUCUUGUCAUUCAAAUGAACAAAGGUUAAGAGAGAAAAAAGAAAAAAAGGCCCCCGGUGUGCACGCAGGUGGGGACAUGUGACGUCUGUGGCUGGCAGGGGCGUGACGGGUGGGGUUGGGAGGUGUGCAUGUCAGACCUCCUGGCCCCGCAAGCCUUCUCUCUAGUGCCUGCACUUGUCAGAGUGUCUCUGAAGGACGUUCUAAAUACAGAUGCAAAGCUUUAUGCUCAAAGAGGUUCACGGAACGCAUUUAUCACAAGAGUCGCAGGAUGGGAGCCCCCCACAGCAAAGGAUGGCCCCCACAUCACGUGCGGCCUGCAGAAGCCCGGGGCAGGUGAAAGCUCGACUUUAGAGUAAAUUUUGAAAUAAACUUUUUACCUGGUCAG
Molecule: long non-coding RNA, 1783 nt
Organism: Neofelis nebulosa (Clouded leopard)
Lineage: Eukaryota; Metazoa; Chordata; Mammalia; Carnivora; Felidae
Exons: 3
Source: RefSeq, a predicted model, not a curated record